AGUUCGGAUUGUAGUCUGCAACUCGACUACAUGAAGCUGGAAUCGCUAGUAAUCGCGCAUCAGCCAUGGCGCGGUGAAUACGUUCCCGGGCCUUGUACACACCGCCCGUCAAGCCAUGGAAGCCGGGGGCGCUUGAAGUGCGUUGCCGCAAGGCGCGCCCUAGAGCGAAACCGGUGACUGGGGCUAAGUCGUAACAAGGUAGC
This 203-nucleotide ribosomal RNA is filed under the name uncultured bacterium. RNAcentral's name for it is "partial 16S ribosomal RNA". It matches the Rfam family "Bacterial small subunit ribosomal RNA", at positions 1290 to 1500 of the family's 1533-position model. The record is from RNAcentral.